CCUGGGGAGCGAAUGUGCCUUCCUGCCUGUUGAGAGUGUGACUUUCGGCCCCGACGUUCCCCAGACAUGACUGAGUCAGCUGUUCACACUAGGAAGCAUGAGAGAUGGGACAGAAGACACAACAGCUUGGUCUCCGACUCCAUCCGGAACCUUCCAUGGCUCUGUCGCUUCAGGAGGAAAUCCAGACUCCUGUCCUGUCUUAUCCCGAACCCGCCCUCGGCAGUGAUUCCUCCCCUGUCAGGCAGCUAAGGUGGCCCGACCCUGCUUGCAGAGUAUGUCCAAGCCCCUGUCUAGAACAACCCUGUGUUAUCAUAUCUGUCUACGCUGCGCUUGUCUCUGUUGUGCGUGGGGCGAAGGCUCUUGGGCUUGACGGAAACCCCCAGGAGCCGGUUGCAUCGAGAGCUGCUGUGACACCUGCAAUGCUGAGCUGUCUGCCUGUGAUAACCCAAGCGAGCAGCUCAGGGAUCAGGACUUGA
Molecule: long non-coding RNA, 476 nt
Filed under: Pan paniscus (pygmy chimpanzee)
Lineage: Eukaryota; Metazoa; Chordata; Mammalia; Primates; Hominidae
Description: lncRNA (ENSPPAG00000045347.1)
Source: RNAcentral